RNAcentral lists this ribosomal RNA (548 nucleotides) under uncultured soil bacterium. RNAcentral's name for it is "bacterial SSU rRNA". It matches the Rfam family "Bacterial small subunit ribosomal RNA", at positions 35 to 585 of the family's 1533-position model. The record is from RNAcentral.
GCUGGCGGCGUGCUUAACACAUGCAAGUCGAGUGCGCGCCUGUAGCAAUACAGGUGGCGCACGGCGCACGGGUGCGUAACACGUGGGUAAUCUGCCCUUCGAUGGGGAAUAACUCGCCGAAAGGCGAGCUAAUUCCGCAUAACAUUCCGAGGACUUUGGUUCUUGGAUUCAAAGGCGUAAGUCGUCGGAGGAGGAGCCCGCGCACGAUUAGCUAGUUGGUGAGGUAAUGGCUCACCAAGGCUAUGAUCGUUAGCUGGUCUGAGAGGAUGGCCAGCCACACUGGAACUGAGACACGGUCCAGACUCCUACGGGAGGCAGCAGUGGGGAAUCUUGCACAAUGGGCGAAAGCCUGAUGCAGCGACGCCGCGUGGGGGAUGAAGCUUUUCGGAGUGUAAACCCCUUUCGACCCGGACGAAUGCCUCGCAAGAGGACUGACGGUACGGGUAUAAGAAGCCCCGGCUAACUACGUGCCAGCAGCCGCGGUAAGACGUAGGGGGCCAGCGUUGCUCGGAAUUACUGGGUGUAAAGGGUUCGUAGGCGGUGUGGCA